RNAcentral lists this transfer RNA (60 nucleotides) under Oxyopes licenti. RNAcentral's name for it is "tRNA-Cys". The record is from RNAcentral. Lineage: Eukaryota; Metazoa; Arthropoda; Arachnida; Araneae; Oxyopidae.
UUCUAAAUAGUUUAUUAAAACAUUAAAUUGCAAAUUUAAAAAAUUAAGAAAUCAUUGAUG